Molecule: long non-coding RNA, 3116 nt
Organism: Daucus carota subsp. sativus
Lineage: Eukaryota; Viridiplantae; Streptophyta; Magnoliopsida; Apiales; Apiaceae
Exons: 5
Source: RefSeq, a predicted model, not a curated record
GUGGCCAAGGUUUGGUUAAAUUACCAUUUGCAUUUUUACUUCUACUUUUCUUACAUUUACCCCACCCAUUCUUGCCUAUAAAUACACCCCUCCACCCAUUCAUUUUUCCUAAGCUAAUAGCCAAACAUAUGCUGAGAUUUUGAAGAACAAACACUCUCCCAAAGUUUAUUCAAGUGCCUACUUCUUCUACUUCAUCUUUAAAACCUUCGAUUCUCCAUAUAUUCCGAUAUAUACAAGGUUUUAAACCCCGAAGCUUCGUUCCACCCAACCAAGCUCCGCUCAUCUUAGCAUUUUCAUAAACCACUCUUUUCAACCUCCCGAAGGGCUGCCCAAAUUCGUUCGUGUGCUUAAAGUCGUAUCGAACCUCCGACGAAUUUCUCCGGCGAACUUUCGUGGAAUAAUCGUGUAAGUGGUUUCUUUUAGCUUCAAUUAUCCGAGUCUUAAUCGACCAUUUUCAAAGGGCUUUUUUAAACAAAUUUCUCUUCAUCUUAAGCUCUCUUGAUUUCAAAAUACUCGAGUUGGCCACUCGUUAUUAUCGGGAAUUUGUGCACUAACUUUAUUUGCUCACUAACUCAUAUUUGUGCUCCCAUUCCCAUCACUCCCAUACCCUUCUUGUUUUAGUGAGAAACCCAUUUUUCAGCCCUGUGCUCGGUGGGGAUAUCAUUAAGAUAAGAUACGUGGUAUUACGUGUUUAUUUUCCGAACGUGUGUGACGUGAGUGAUUUUACUUGUUUCGGUGGUAAACCCCGUUUGGGCCUUUUCGCUAUCGCGGGGUGUUAUCCGAACAAGCUACUUGGUUCGAUUGCGUUCGUGAGAGUGUGUGCGAUAUAUCUUGCUCGAAUUCGACUCCGUCUUUUCAAAACUCACUCAUCACUCGAUCUUAUUAAAAUCAACAACUUAUAUUUCUCCGCGCGAUAUAAUUUGUUAAAAUUGAACCAACGACUUAACCACCAUACUAAAACGUUAUAAUCGACUAAUUUCAACGUGGUUAAAAUUGGACUAAAACUUGCGGAACCAAAACUUUUAUAAAACAAGGAUAUAUUUGCUUGUGGAUAUUGUGUUCUAACUUUUGCAGUGAGGUGAAGUGAAGUGAGGUGAUCUUCGUUCUAAGACCCAAGUCUUUGACGUAUUGACGGGGAGUUGAUAGUCAUCGCACCGUGAAGAAGAGGAAAGACCCAAGACCUAAUACCUAAGAUCCAAGACCGGCGAAAGGUUUAGAAGUACAAAGACCACUGGAGGUGCAACGACUUUGAGGAAGUAACAAGGAUAGUUACGUUCCGAGACAAGUCUUGUUAUUUACAUUUAUAGUGAGGAGGUAACGAAGAGUUGCGCUCCAAGAUAUAUAUUUGUAAAGGCUUCUCCGCCUACUGUAAAGGAGUUCUUUAUAGUAGAGAAAAUCUCGAGUCCGGGGAGGAGCUCGGGGACUGGACUAGGGGUGAGUGGACUCCAAGGGUUGAGUUAGCCACCGCGAACCAGGAUAAAAUCGCUCGUGUGAUAUUUUCCUUUUCUUUUCUUACACUUCCGCACGUAACUGCCAAUACUCUCGAUACAAGUUCUAAAGAAGGGGUGAAAACUUUUUAAAACGACAUAAAUAUUUUUAAUUGGUGAUUAAGCUAUUCAACCCCCCCUUCUAGCUUAAUUAAACCAUCUAUCGGGACCUAACAAUGUCAUAUGGCCAAAGGAAGGGGGAGGAUUUGUUAAUGGGAAUGGUGGAAAGACAGCUGAUCCAUCAGAUUUGGUGAGUAAACCAUGGAGGCCAAUCACCCGCAAAUUAAAGAUACCAGCUGUUGUUAUCAGCCCAUACAGGAAUUUGUCAAAAUUCAAAGAGCCAAACAUGUUUUUUCUUCUCUAGUCACGUUUUGGGCAGGAGUGCAGGAGAAAGGAGUAUCUUUGCAAUUCCUCGCCGUUCCAAAAGAUGGAGAAGGAUUUUGACUCCACAAUUAAAAGGGAGUGCAUCAUUUGUCUGUAUAAUUUAAACCUCUCUGCUGCAAGUUGUCCGUGUUCGCCAGGACAGUAUUCUUGUUUGCAACAUGCAAUGCAGCUUUGUUCUUGUUCUUGGAGUGAUCGAGUUUUUUAUUGUCGGUAUAAGAUUCAUGACUUGUACCUUCUUGGUGAAGCUUUGGAAGGAAGUCUAGGUGCAGUUUUGUGACAAAAAAAAAAGUCUAGGUGCAGUUUAUAAAUGGGCUUCAGCAAAUCUGAAAAUGAGUAUUGAUUCCAGAGUUCCAUAUGAUGGCUCACCAAGAACAUCCGUACCUGACAACUUAGUAAAAUCAAAGCACACAGAACCUCGAGAGUCGAGAACAUAAUCCAUCUGCAACACCAGCCUCAGAUAAGCUGAAAGACGGAGAAAACAUAACGUUAGGUACAAUAACUAUUACAGAGUCUAUUUAAAUGAAAAUAAAAGGUAAUUGCCUAUAAUAUACCUUGUUUCUACUUUCUAGUAUUUUGGUAGAUGCAAUAGAAGUGUUUAUCUGCGAGUAGUUAUUUGUUUUCGUUGUUACAGUACUGCUCAAGUUUAUCUUGGGUACUCUUGUUCGAUAAUUGAGUGACUUUUUAUAUAUCCCUGACAUUAAUAAAGGAAUGAAAUUUUUGCUGGCUCGGGUGUUUUCUUCACUAAGUUAUAUAUGGAUUAUGAUAACUAGUGCCUGAACACCAGGUGCUUACACUAGAAGAAAAGAAGGAAUAACUGGAUAAAGAUACUGUAAGAGAAACAGAGUUUAUGAGGCAUUCUAACUAGCUUCUACCUGAGACUAGAUAUUUCAUAUUAUCAGCAAGGGUAAUACUGGUUCCUGUUGUAUUGUGGAGGCUAAUCACUUUUUUUCGGAACUGCCAGACAAGGAUCUGCAUCAAUAUGAUGUGGUGGUGCAUUUAAAAGGCCUGGAUGGCACAAAAGUUCAUCUUCCAAGAGCAAACCUAAACGACAUAGCUUUUUUUUUGUGUAAGGAAACGACAUAGCUUUGAUUAUGUACUUUAUAGGCUUUGAUUAUGUACUUGAUAUUUAGAUUAGAUGGAUGUGUAGUAGUUGAUCGAUAUUGGAUUUGAUGGAUGUGUAGUCGGUGAAAUUAGAAUUUGAUGAUUUAUGUACAAUUGGUUUAUAUAUGCAUUAAUAAGAUUUAG